GUGGUCCUCAAGGUGAUCACAAAUGAUCCCUGCAGUUAGGUUCCGUCAAAAACUCUGUUAGUUUUGCUGACGUGGCAUGUAUAUAUCACAAAAUAUCUUUGAGGUUCAUGUACUUAUCACUGGGUCCCUGCGAAAUUUUUUAAUUUUUUAAAUUUAAAAUUCAUAAAAUUUAAAAAUGAAAAAACCAUUUAUAGAAGGAUUUUAACCUUGAG
This 212-nucleotide long non-coding RNA is filed under the name Prunus persica (peach). Its description in RNAcentral is "long non-coding RNA (PPER_LNC005164)". Lineage: Eukaryota; Viridiplantae; Streptophyta; Magnoliopsida; Rosales; Rosaceae. The record is from RNAcentral.